Molecule: long non-coding RNA, 702 nt
Organism: Siniperca chuatsi (mandarin fish)
Lineage: Eukaryota; Metazoa; Chordata; Actinopteri; Centrarchiformes; Sinipercidae
Exons: 3
Source: RefSeq, a predicted model, not a curated record
GAGAGGCAGGGGGGACUAACUUGUCGUACAAACCUUGACCAAGAAUGAAGAGUCGAACGGUCAUGUUGACAAAGAUCCAGGAGAAUCCCAGGAACUGCACCAGGUUGUACAUAAACAAGUAGCCUUUCUUCAGCCCGAGUUCCUACCUUUGCCUGAAGCUCCAUCUCGGCGUCGGACUCGUCCAGCCAGCGGUCGAAGUCGGGAGCCAAAAACAGAGGCUUCUUUUCCUGCAGGGUCAGCCGGUCCCACCAGCGCUCCUCCUGCUUCUUGAUCUUGAUGUCCACCUGACGCUGGGUGGACUUAUGGUUGAUCUGAAUACACAAUAUUAAAAAAUUAUAAAAGGUUUCUUAAAGCUAGGGCUGAUGUCGAGAUUCUGAAAAACAUAAAGGCAGCCAUCAAGACCAACCCGACACUGACGCACACAAUAGACAAAAUUAUGAGAUGGAAAUUAAAGGACAAGUCUCGUGAAAUUCCAUAUUUUUCUCAUUGUCAACAAAUCCCAUGACAAUCCUACAACCAAGUAUGUGUUAGUCUCUCAAUUGUUGUAUACUUUCCUACCCUGUCUGUUUCACUCAACACCAAGCCCAUUGGUUCCUACUGAAGGCGUAAAGCUUUAAAAAAAAAAAAAAUAGUUUCUUCUUCUUUUCCUUUCGGCUGUUCCCUUUCAGGGGUCGCCACAGCGAAUCAUGUGCCUCCAUCUAA